This 253-nucleotide ribosomal RNA is filed under the name uncultured bacterium. RNAcentral's name for it is "partial 16S ribosomal RNA". It matches the Rfam family "Bacterial small subunit ribosomal RNA", at positions 524 to 776 of the family's 1533-position model. RNAcentral also lists the same sequence under 1 other name. The record is from RNAcentral.
UACGGAGGAUGCAAGCGUUAUCCGGAUUUAUUGGGUUUAAAGGGUGCGCAGGCGGAAUGGUAAGUCAGUGGUGAAAUCUCCCGGCUCAACCGGGAAACUGCCGUUGAUACUGCCGUUCUAGAGUACAGUUGGGGUGGGCGGAAUGUGUCAUGUAGCGGUGAAAUGCUUAGAUAUGACACAGAACACCGAUCGCGAAGGCAGCUCACCAAGUUGUAACUGACGCUCAUGCACGAAAGCGUGGGGAUCAAACAGG